Long non-coding RNA from Eucalyptus grandis, 1608 nucleotides. RefSeq lists it as uncharacterized. Lineage: Eukaryota; Viridiplantae; Streptophyta; Magnoliopsida; Myrtales; Myrtaceae. The record is from RefSeq and is a predicted model, not a curated record. The transcript has 2 exons.
GAGAGAAGGGUUGUUUUCCCUUGGAUCUUAGGGCUUGUCCUCGGAACCUUGAUGAGCUUGUGGUUGCGGCGACGAAUGAGAGCUUCUUCUAUCAUGGAAAGGAAAAUGAUGAGUUCCCUCUCUGUCUCUCUCUCUCAUGUAUGGCAUUGCGUGUAGGUGUCGAAAGCAUGUUGUGCAGCCAAGGAUGACUUGCCGACUCUCUUUCUUCUUAUUUAUUUGGAUUGGAUCUAUCUCCGUGUAUGUUAAAUUAAUGGAAAUAGUGAAGUUGGCAAGUUGUUCUUGGCUACAUGCUUCUUUCCGCUCCACAUGCCAGGCCAUUGGUGAUACUCACGGUCACAGAUGAAUCACCGGUCUCGAGUUCCGAUCCAUUUUGGCCCAAGAAUGCUAGAGAGGUAUGUUAUUGUUCAAUUCAUUUCAUGGUUCAUUCAGGUUGAUUCUGAAAAUAGGAUGUUUCAUCAAGCUACUGCUGCUUUUCUUAGCUCACCCUUGCCCCCUCGAUGCACUUGUUUGAUCCCUAGCAAUUUUGGUUCAAAUAAGAUUUACCCUUGUCAGUAUAUAUAUAUAUACACCUCUCUUUGUAACUUCACAUACACUAGUGUCAAGAUCAGUGAAAUGAAGACCAAAAUCAGAAUGAGGAAGAAUAGAACAUCAUGAUGUAAGUCGAUUAUUCCUUGCAACAUAGGUGUUGCUGCAUCUUGAGGCUGAGAAGAUGUCCUGAUCGCAUCUCUCUCAAGCCAUUGUCUAAGGGCUUCAUAUUCCUCUGGAGGCGUUGCAACAUAGUCAGUGAAGAAGAAAGAAUGAGAUUGUCUUCUCCCAGUUCCCUCUCCGUCAAUUCGUGUGUCCACUUAUACAUUGAUUGUAGUACUCACUUCUGAUUUAGUACACUUGUAAAUCACUUGCUGCAAUCUUGUCCGUGGUUAACUAUAAAUUUUUGUCCAAACUGUAUUUAUUUGUCGAUGAGUCAUAAUUCGAGACAUUGUAUUUAAAUUCUGAAGUACAUUCUUUUGUCAAUCACUAGGUCAGGUCCUGUGUCUCUAGUUCUUGGUCAAGAACAGGUAUUAUUGCAGAUUAGGGAACCUGGACUUAGUAUGAAUUGGCUUAAUGAACAUUGUUGAUCAUCGACGAAGAGAAAAUGCAGCAUCCAACCAUCUUUAUUCUCAUCUAUCUGGAUUGAAUUGGUUCAGACUUUAUAUGACUUUGUUGGGUACUUGCUUGUCUAUAAGUAGUAUUUGCUGAUCUUGACUGAAGAAGAAAUAGCCUGGAACACGUUUCCAACUCCAUACACUAGUUGAUAUGACUCGGGAACUGCCCUUUCAGCAAGGAUCUCAACGCAAUGAAGUAAUUAUCAGGAGAUCAUAUUGACUGAAAUGAAAAGAGUUGGUUGUCUUCAGAAAUGUGGUGAGAGUGAAGGCAAAAGUCGAGACUAGACUGCAUUAAACUUGGAAGGCACUGCUACUUUGGAUUUCAUACUUCAAAAUCUGCUGUUGAGGAUGAUUUUUCCCCUACAAGCACACAAUUUACACUAUCGUGUAUCAAAUCUUUCUGCCUUUGAUCUCUCCAAUUUAUAUCUUGUUUGAAUGCAGUGCACAAUCACAUUGUUUUCUCGCA